Molecule: long non-coding RNA, 1578 nt
Organism: Peromyscus californicus insignis
Lineage: Eukaryota; Metazoa; Chordata; Mammalia; Rodentia; Cricetidae
Exons: 3
Source: RefSeq, a predicted model, not a curated record
ACCCUGUGUGUGACAUGCUGGGUGCAGUGCUUCUUAGAAGCUUGGAGCUGCCUGCACUCCCUCAGUGCUAAAGCUGUCUACAGGAUUGGAUGCCUAAGUUUCAGUCUUGCAAAGGUAGAGAAGAAAAAGAGGAAUUCUUAGAAAACUAAUGGAGACAUCAGCAGCCAUUCAGAUCUAUGACUGUGAAGCAGCCAAGGAGGAUACGAUAGAAAAGAAGGCGAGAGGAAUUGUUUAACCGACGUGAAGAUGGCAAUCCAACUGAAGCAGGGUAGUCCUCAUCUUCCUCAAAUUCAAGCCGAACCUAGCCACCAAAUGAUAGGCAUUUAUUAAUUGUACUGUUAAUAAUUAUUAUUCUGCUGUGCUUUUAAAUGUUGAAUAAAGAUUUGGGAGAAAAUUAUGAAAGGAAAUCUUCAGCCCAAAAUAUGGAUUUUCAAAAGUCUAGAACAGGUGGCCGUAGAUCUGUUAGUUAUCUAAGAACUAGACACAAGACCCCCACACAUAUUUUUGACAUGCAGCUGGUCCUAGAUGGAGAAUGUCUCUACAAAAAAUAGACAGAAGUUGCUACUUGACUGUAGACAUUGGUUUGAGUGAAGGACAGUAGAAGAUCUAGUGUCAACUCUCCUAGGAAGGACCUUUUCUAUGUCUUUGCUGUUGUCUCUGAGAUACCAUUUGUGCAUCUUGAUUUUUUUAGUUCAUCAUUUUCCUUUUAUUGCUUGCAAUCAAAUCUACUCACCAUCUAAUAUCUGGAAACAAAGCCACAGAGAUGAUGAGGAUUGUAUGUUGUGGUUAAGAUGCAGUCAGAUCAGGGAUGGUGUGAUAAGAUCUGCUGAGAUCUCAAGAGACUGAGAGUGAACUCUGCCCAGGAAGGGUACUGUCCAAAUUACUGUGAGAAGUUCCUGUCUCCUGAGAACCCUGUGCUGUAAGCUGCUGAGUAAAACACCUUUGAGAAAAUUGGAGUUGAUAACAACCCCUUAAGCAUGAUUCUGUCUAUUAACAUGCCUCAAUUUCAUUCUCCCAGAAGAGAGAUACUUCAAAUGCAUUUGUUUCUACCAAGGUUACAGCUUCAUGAAUGAGAAAAGCACAGUAGUAAGAGGCAGGAACUUACCAGGUUGAGUAAUGACUUAACAUCCUUUAGAAGUUUUGUGAGUUUUGUGAAGUCUUCAACUAUCUUUCUGAUUUUAGAUAUGAAAGCACCAACACCAGGGAUUGACUCCAGAUCAACAAGAUCUAUUAUUACAUGACUCAGGGUGUUGUUCCAGCCAACCAGCAUGCCUAUAGUUACUUUCAGAAGGACCUCAGGCUAGGAAAAAACAAUUGAGCAUCACAUUAAAACAUGUAAAAAACUGCAGGUUGAAUUGCAUGUGAUACUUAGUGUAGUGUUUGUAGCUUGUGUUAUACAAUUUUUUGAGAAUCAUUUGCAGAACUGUUAGUACAGUGAUUUGUGAGUGUCUAGACAUGGAAUAGAUCUUAAUAGAAAUUCUCUUCUUUCACUGUUUUAGAUAUUAUCUUCCUUUACUUUCUCUCAUGUUUACAAAUAUUGAUAUGCAUAGUACAUGAACAGAAUGUGCACAGCGGAUG